AAACUCCGUCGUUUAAUUCCAAUUAAAAGAAGAACCCAGUCCCUGAUGCCUACCUGUAAUUCCCAAUCUCUUUUCUCAAAUAUCUGCUGCCGUUCCACUAGUUGCAAACUUCUAGCCUGCACCUCGCCGCGCCACCUCCACUUCUCGACGGCGCUCCCGCUGAUCUGCUGCGCUGAAUUGCACUGCACUGCUCUCCAUCGAGCUCUCUCUCGUUGCUUUCUGUUUCUCCGUCGCAAACGGUUGCCCUUCGACCUUAGUGACUGUGUAUUGAAAGAAACAUCCCACCUCUGCCAGAGACUUAUAGCUCUGAAACCCCUACAAAAGGCGCGAAAAGAAGUAGAAGAAGGAGUGCCAUGUUGAGGAAAUUGUUAGCAGAAGGCGCGGUGCGGCAGCCAUUCUGGCGCAUGUUAGCAAGUCGUCGCUCGACCACCAGCAUCUCCAAUGCUGUGGACUCCAUGUUGCUCCGCUCUCUCAAAGAACACUAUCUCGAAGUCUCCAAAAUGAACCCUCCUCCCAAAGUAAGCCCACCAUCAGCCUUUACCAUAGUGAAAGGAGCUCUUGAUGGGAAUGGCCC
This 574-nucleotide unclassified non-coding RNA is filed under the name Hevea brasiliensis (rubber tree). Lineage: Eukaryota; Viridiplantae; Streptophyta; Magnoliopsida; Malpighiales; Euphorbiaceae. The record is from RNAcentral.